RNAcentral lists this non-coding RNA (118 nucleotides) under uncultured Alphaproteobacteria bacterium. RNAcentral describes it as "Glycine". It matches the Rfam family "Glycine riboswitch aptamer". Rfam says of the family: This family represents the bacterial glycine riboswitch. Glycine riboswitches usually consist of two metabolite-binding aptamers domains with similar structures in tandem. Lineage: Bacteria; Pseudomonadati; Pseudomonadota; Alphaproteobacteria. The record is from RNAcentral.
GACCUCUGGAAAGCAGGCGCGCUUGAAAAGGCGCGAACCUCACCGAAGAUGUAAGCCUGUGCGUGGUCGAACCCUCGUCCCGGCGAAUCUUUCAGGUUCCGAAGACAGAGGGGGGCCG